CAUUGUAGUCCUUUACGUAACGUCAAAUUCGUUGUUUCGAGGUUAGAAUAAAUUUAUAAUUUUGUUGUUUAUUAUUUGAAAAUGGAUAUUUACUACAUUGACUUAAAUGAUAUUGAGGAUAUGGAAGUUGCGGAGUCAUUUGUGAUGGCACACAGAUCUAUCAGACAUCGUAUUCGAGUAAACCCUUUUGAGGGACUGUGUGAGGGAGAUUUUUGAAAAAGUAUAAGGCUUACAAAACGUUUUGCCACAAAAAUUAUAAAUUGAGUAAAAUACCAGUUAUCUCACGACCCUAGGGGAGUAUUAAAUUUGUAAUAUAGGUAUGAACACCACAAUCUAGUAAUUGAGGCUAUUGUUGGGAGACAGUGGUUAUGCAUGCACACCAUAUUUAAUUACACCUUUACUCAACCCUACAAAACCUCAAGAAGAAAAGUACAACCAUGCACAUAUUCACACCAGGAAUACAAUACAGAGAUAUUUUGGUUUGUGGAAGCAAGAUUCCGUUGUUUGUUGUUGUAAGGGGAUUAUUUGGUGACAUUGAAACCUCCAGAAAGAUUAUUGUGGCAUGUGCUGUUCUACAUACAAUUUUGCAAUUUAUAUGCAAGAAGAUUUAUUUCCAGAAUUUUGAUAUAAAUCAGGCUGAUUCAUCCAGAACAGUAGGUAGUUUUGCCAGUGGAAAAUAGUGUAUGUGGUAAUAUGAGAAGGAGGCAGUUCAUACAAACACACUUUUAGUGAAUAAUAUAUUAUUAUAAUAAUUAUAAACAACAUUGUAUUUACAUUUAUACACAACUAAUUAAUCUUUAAACAGCUCUGUGAUGGUAAAUCUGAAAAAGAAAAUGGGGGUUAUUAAAAUAUGAAUAAUAUAAUAAAACUCAAAACAUUACAUUCGAACUGGUGUUUUCACUAUAGUUUACUUACUUUUAUCAUGUCAUCAUUGAGAUGCUAGCAACUAUUGUUAUUGGGUUCCAUAUGAGUGUCGAUUGUUUAAAUAUAAAUAUUUGAGAUGAAAUUUAGGUUCUACUGAAAUUAAAUUAAAACACUUAAAAACAUAUUAUACAAAUGAUUGUAUUCAAUAAUUGAGCUCCAAAAUUUUAUAUAAAUUUAAACUCAGUAUUUAGUUAUUACCCAAGCUUUUCUGAUUUUCUAAUAAAUUUACUUCUAACUCUAGUUUUCUUAUUUUUAAUUUAGCAAUUCUAAUUGUAUAUUCAUGCUCAACCUCUAAUAUUUCUAAGUGUCUCUUUAUAUUGCUUUCCACUAUGCUUUUUUGUAAUACUUCAUUUCUGUAAAACCAAAAAAAUUUUGAUUUCUUGGAGUAGUUCUGUUAUUUAUUUCUAAGGUUCCUAGAAAAUACUAUUAUUAUUGAAAUGUCUACAACAAUAUAUACAACAUUAUUCUCUUAAUCAUAUUUUGUUAGAAUUUAAAUAUGUAUUCGAAAUUUUAAAUAUUUGUUUUUAUCUUUAUCUAUUGUUGUAACUCUUUUAUAAUAGGGUUCUGUAUUUACAAUUUUUGAGUCAAUUGGUGUGCUAGGACCAGCUACUGCUUCUAUGCUAUUUCCAGCUUCUAUUUGAAUAUCCUGUUGGUGUUAGUGGUCUAAUUCUACCUAAUGGAUAUUACAUAUUGAUUAAUAAAGUUAUGCUGAGAAUUA
Leptidea sinapis is the source of this 1642-nucleotide long non-coding RNA. RefSeq lists it as uncharacterized. Lineage: Eukaryota; Metazoa; Arthropoda; Insecta; Lepidoptera; Pieridae. The transcript has 2 exons. The record is from RefSeq and is a predicted model, not a curated record.